Molecule: ribosomal RNA, 482 nt
Filed under: uncultured bacterium
Lineage: Bacteria
Description: partial 16S ribosomal RNA
Rfam family: Bacterial small subunit ribosomal RNA
Source: RNAcentral
UGGGGAAUAUUGCACAAUGGGCGCAAGCCUGAUGCAGCCAUGCCGCGUGUGUGAAGAAGGCCUUCGGGUUGUAAAGCACUUUCAGCGAGGAGGAAGGUGGUGGACUUAAUACGUUCAUCAAUUGACGUUACUCGCAGAAGAAGCACCGGCUAACUCCGUGCCAGCAGCCGCGGUAAUACGGAGGGUGCAAGCGUUAAUCGGAAUUACUGGGCGUAAAGCGCACGCAGGCGGUUUGUUAAGUCAGAUGUGAAAUCCCCGGGCUCAACCUGGGAACUGCAUUUGAAACUGGCAAGCUAGAGUCUCGUAGAGGGGGGUAGAAUUCCAGGUGUAGCGGUGAAAUGCGUAGAGAUCUGGAGGAAUACCGGUGGCGAAGGCGGCCCCCUGGACGAAGACUGACGCUCAGGUGCGAAAGCGUGGGGCAGCAAACAGGAUUAGAUACCCUGGUAGUCCACGCUGUAAACGAUGUCGAUUUGGAGGUCCUG